GGACGGAGAAGGGGGCUGUAUUUCCCCUGGCGUGUGAAAUGGAUGUUAGUGACUAAAGCUCAAUUUUCCAGUUAAGGGAGGAGCCGAGACUUUUAAGUCGAGUGUUCCUGUGGGGCCAAAAGGAUGGUUUCAGAGAAAUCCCAGGAAGUGAGAGUGCUGGGAUAUGCGAGGGGCCCACGGAGCCCUCCCCUGCGUGUCUGAGAUCACACCCUGCGGGUACCCUGCCGUCGUGUGCUGAAGGAGGAUACAAGAUGGAAAAAAAAGCUAUUGAACUUGUGGAGAAAGUGGCUGGUUUAAAUUAGUCCUGUCCCUGAAAAUCCAAGCUGCGUGUUUGUCAGUCUUAUGGCUGAUUUAACUCAUAGGCCCAGGAGAGAAAGGAUAGAAGGAAGCCUGAAUGACCAGCAAAGAAUCUGCAUCCAAUCAACACUCAGAGCAUGUAUGCUACAUUCUUCAGAAACCUUCAGGAGUCAUAGACUGUGAUUGUAUCUGCUUCCCUGUGUCUACUUGCUGGCUUGGAACUUAUUAAGAUUGGAUCCUUCCUGGAAGAAAUUUGCUGAUGGAGGCAGAAGGACACUCAGAAUUGAAACUGUGUGAGCUUUGGUGCCUGGGAUCCUUACUUGCUGUUGCCCAUACUUAAUUCAAAUACUCAAUGGAUAUUUAUUAUGUCCUAGGGCUAUAAGAACAUAAGAAAAAGACCCCUGAAACUAGGAAAGAAAGCUUCAAAGAGAUGGUCAUUUAGACAUUUUUAAAGAAUGAGAGGAAUUGUUGGAGAAGAUUGGCAUGGGAGAAGAGAAUUGAAGCAGAGGGAACAGCAUGUACAAAGGUACAAAGAUGUGAAACAGAAUGACCCGCUGGAGGAACUACAUCCUACUGACUAGAAUAUAGUGUCCAUGUGGGCCUGUGGCACAAGGAGAGAUAGGAACCCAAACCCGGUUGGAAAAUACGUGGGCCUGUGGCACAAGGAGAGAGAGGAACCCAAACCCGGUUGGAAAAUACAAUCUGGGAGGCAGCUGCGGGGUGUGGAGGAGCCUCAGGUUAUUCACUAUCUACAGCAUGCCCAGGUAGAGUGGUUUCAGCAGUCAGAGAGUGCCCUCAGGCAAAGAAUAGCAGCUGCUGACAGCUGGAAAUUGUAAUCCAUGGUAAUGGUUGCAGCUGAGAUGUGGGUGGGUACCCCCAGCAUCUCCUAGAUCAACCAUACAUUUGUGUGAGCCAUUUGGUUUUCUCUAGUAGGUCUUGAUUUAAGUUCCUGAACUCUGCCCACCACCACCAGCAGCCAUGACUUCUUGGCAAGACUCCAAACCCCUCCCUACCUUCACUCUUUAGGUAAGUUGUUUAAAGAUGCUAUGCCUCCUUGGGAAUUUCAUUGAUUUCCAUGUUCCAUUCUGCCUGUUCAGCCUCUGCCAACCACUGUCCUGGACUCUCUGGCAGACUGUGCCUUCCUGGUUCUUGUUGGUUACUGGUUGCUUACUGGUUGCAGCCCUAUACCUGUUCUUGAACCCCAACUAUUGACCCUGUCCUAGGUUUAGUUUACUAACAUGGUCUAAAUUCUAGUACAGUGAUAACUUGAAGAAGCUCAGGCCUAACUUACUAACCAUAAUAUCUUACCCUAUUGGAACUGAGCUUUUCCCAAAGAGUACCUCCAGUGUCUUCGCUCCAUCAGGAUCAGUCAGUCCUACCCUCACCCAACUAUCUAUAGCCCUAAAGGACCACUGAUCAUGGCAAGUUAAGGCAAUUAUCAAUAAGGAAGAACAAUGAUAAAGUAUUAGAAGAAGUUAAGUUAAAACCUUGUGUUGCUGAAUUUGAAAUAGAGAAGUAUCAAUAUUAACUUGUAAGGUAUUUUAUCUUUUAAAAAUUCCCUUGCUCUGUCCACUGAAAAGCCAAGAAAUAAUGAUCAACCUAGUAUCAAUGAAUAUCUCUAGAGCCAAUAUUGUGAAUCUGAAAUCUAUUUUCCAUUAAAAGAAAUCAUGGCUGAUUCUAGAUCUAGGGCAGGAAAUGUACAAGAUGAGUCUGGAACAUCUUAUAAUAGAAAGGAAGGAAGGAAGCUACACAUGAUCAUUAGGUGUAGGGUCCAGCCCUACAGGGCUUAGCAGGUGUUCUCCCCGUGUGCAAAGAUGAGAGAUUGUAAGAAAUAAAGACACAAGACAAAGAGAUAAAGAGAAAACAGCUGGGCCCGGGGGACCACUACCACCAAGACACAGAGACCGGUAGUGGCCCUUCCCUUUUAGGUAGCCGAAGCAAAGAGGGAAGGCAGUAUAUGUCAGCGUUUUCUUCCAUGCACUUAUAAGAAAGAUCAAAGACUUUAAGACUUUCACUAUUUCUUCUACCGCUAUCUACUAUGAACUUCAAAGAGGAACCAGGAGUAUGGGAGGAACAUGAAAGCGGACAAGAAGCGUGACCAUUGAAGCACAGCACCACAGGGAGGGGUUUAGUCCUCCGGAUGACUGUGGGCAGGCCUGGAUAAUAUCCAGCCUCCCACAAGAAGCUGGUGGAGCAGAGU
Molecule: long non-coding RNA, 2497 nt
Filed under: Homo sapiens (human)
Lineage: Eukaryota; Metazoa; Chordata; Mammalia; Primates; Hominidae
Description: HSALNT0296319
Source: RNAcentral